This 855-nucleotide long non-coding RNA is filed under the name Rattus norvegicus (Norway rat). Its description in RNAcentral is "long non-coding RNA NONRATT016802". The record is from RNAcentral. Lineage: Eukaryota; Metazoa; Chordata; Mammalia; Rodentia; Muridae.
AGAAGCAUUCCUGCGUAAAUACUGCUGUAGCACUGUCAUACAAGCGUAUCCUUUCUUGUCGUAUCCUUUUGGAGCAGUGGCUUUGUUUUCUUUCAUUUUGUUUUCUAGAAAUGUUUGGUCUACCUUCUAUCCUUUAUCCAGAUUAAGUAUUUUUUUACUUUAUUUAAAUGAAACAUUUGUCAAAUAGUUUUGUUUCCUGGACAAAUAUUUUCUGUAUUUUAAAUUCCAUGGUUAAUUUUCUAUGCUAUCAUAUAAGUCAAUGAGUUUUUACCAGGGAAAGUUAGUGAAUCAGGUCACUUAUUAUAUACAAUUGCUUGACCACGGAAUAUGGUAAUAUUUCUUAUAUAUGUUAAUUUCUUCAACCUAAUUCAGGAACAUGCUUCCUGUUUUGUGUUAUCCCAUUUAGGUGUUGUUCUAGUUUCAUUUUUGUGGCUGGGACAAAUACCCUGACAAAAAGUGACUUAGUGAAGAAGAAGGGAAUUAUUUGCUUUUCAAUUUAUAGUUCAUUGUUGUAGAGAAGUCAAGGCAUGAAUCUAAAGUGUAAUAUCCACAGUCAAGAGCAGAGAGAAUAAAGCUAUAGCUUGCCUAGUGUAAGCUAGCUUCACAGUCCCCUUUCCUAAGCAAUGGUGCUACCCACAAUUGGUUGGAUAUUACAUCGGUGAACAGUCAAGACUAUGUUAUGUGCUCAUACCAACAUAGUCUAGAUAGUGCUUUAUUAAGACUUUUCCCAGGUAAUCUAAUAUGUCAAGUUGAUAAUUAAAACUGCCUAGCGCAGUUGUUCUGUAUAACAUAUAAGUUUUGACUGGGAAAUGAUCUUUUUCUUAUAAUAAUAAAUAUAUUGAAAAUUAAGAUUUG